UACGUAGGGUGCAAGCGUUAAUCGGAAUUACUGGGCGUAAAGCGUGCGCAGGCGGUCAUGCAAGACAGAUGUGAAAUCCCCGGGCUCAACCUGGGAACUGCAUUUGUGACUGCAUGGCUGGAGUGCGGCAGAGGGGGAUGGAAUUCCGCGUGUAGCAGUGAAAUGCGUAGAUAUGCGGAGGAACACCGAUGGCGAAGGCAGGUCUCUGGGCUGACACUGACGCUCAUGCACGAAAGCGUGGGGAGCAAACAGG
Molecule: ribosomal RNA, 253 nt
Filed under: uncultured bacterium
Lineage: Bacteria
Description: partial 16S ribosomal RNA
Rfam family: Bacterial small subunit ribosomal RNA
Source: RNAcentral